GCGGGCUGGAACCUCUCGGGGUUACAGCCUUGCUGAAUUAUUCACCCUUGUCUUUUGCGUACUUCUUGUUUCCUUGGUGGGUUCGCCCACCACUAGGACAAACAUAAACCUUUUGUAAUUGCAAUCAGCGUCAGUAACAAAUUAAUAAUUACAACUUUCAACAACGGAUCUCUUGGUUCUGGCAUCGAUGAAGAACGCAGCGAAAUGCGAUAAGUAGUGUGAAUUGCAGAAUUCAGUGAAUCAUCGAAUCUUUGAACGCACAUUGCGCCCUUUGGUAUUCCAAAGGGCAUGCCUGUUCGAGCGUCAUUUGUACCCUCAAGCUUUGCUUGGUGUUGGGCGUCUUGUCUCUAGCUUUGCUGGAGACUCGCCUUAAAGUAAUUGGCAGCCGGCCUACUGGUUUCGGAGCGCAGCACAAGUCGCACUCUCUAUCAGCAAAGGUCUAGCAUCCAUUAAGCCUUUUUUUCAACUUUUGACCUCGGAUCAGGUAGGGAUACCCGCUGAACUUAAGCAUAUCAAUAAGCGGAGGAAAGA
Molecule: ribosomal RNA, 531 nt
Filed under: Alternaria sp. SC1L6-1
Lineage: Eukaryota; Fungi; Ascomycota; Dothideomycetes; Pleosporales; Pleosporaceae
Description: eukaryotic LSU rRNA
Rfam family: 5.8S ribosomal RNA (bases 153-306)
Source: RNAcentral